Molecule: long non-coding RNA, 2752 nt
Organism: Lynx canadensis (Canada lynx)
Lineage: Eukaryota; Metazoa; Chordata; Mammalia; Carnivora; Felidae
Exons: 2
Source: RefSeq, a predicted model, not a curated record
ACUGUGAGAACAUGACCUGAGCUGAAGUCGGACACCCAACUAAUUGAGCACCCAGGCGCCCCAGUACUUCUGUGUUUAAACUGUGACUUCCUCAGGCAAAGAAGAUGCUUAAGAACAGUACUUGUCAGUGGGAAGUGGUAUCUGGAAGCAGGAAUGAGAAGCCUGGAACUGUGUGGAGAGGGGCGCCUGGCUGCCUCAGGCGGAAGAGCAUGUGACUCUUGAUCUUGGGGUUGUGACUUCAAGAUCCACACUGGAUGUAGAGAUCAAAUAAAUAAAGCUUAAAAAAAAAAAUGUGUGGAGAAUAGAAGAGGUAAGGUAAUAGCAAAUUAUGAAAACUGCAUGUCCCAGCAAGAACUGCCAUUCAUCCCUACCACUCAGGCUCAGACUGGGUUAUGCUCUAGGGGUGUGUGUAAACACAUCUCUAUAGCAACCAUCUGGUUUCUGUCCUUCUAUGACAAUACAGGCUUGCAGUGUCUAAAUAUGGGCACUGGUGAGGAUGAGUGUGGCUGGGGAGGGGAAGUUGCGUGCUGAGUCAAAGGAAAAUUGUGCAGAAAAGGCAGAUUCCUUUGGUGUGCCCUCAUCUACCCCUCCCAGCCCACCCCCAAGGUAGGAAAGGGGCUUAAGACCCUGAUCUCUCUUCGGGUCACAGCAGUUGCAGUUAAGAGCUAAGCCCUGCAUACAUUUUGUCUUAUUUUAACCAAGUAUGUAAAUUCCUGUGCAGUCAGGGGGGGAUCCCCUUGGUUCAAAAGGGGGAGGGUAGAAACUUUUGCUUCCUAUUUCACCCCAGGUGUCACUUUCGGGGCCAUGGAGGUAGAAGCUGGAGGAUCCCAUCUGCUGAAGGCAUGGAUGCCUUGUCAGAGGUGGAAUGCUCAACCUACCUACCCCUGAGGACCCUGGGAGACAGGCCUGAGGAGACUGUGCCCCAUAACCCUCUGGGGACUUUGGUCAAGACUGAUACCAAACAACUUUUAAACCGGUUGAGAACCUUAAUGUGAAUUCAUUGCACAAGCGGUCCCAUCUCUGUAUGAUCUUUGGAUUCUGCCCCCAAUGCAGAACUCUCCCACUCACUUACAAAACCUUCAUCCCUGGUCCCCUCAUUUCUCUGAGGUCUCACACAGAAACUCUUAAGAGGAAUUUCCCUCAACCCACUCAUUCAAAUUACACCCACGUUUCCCCUCAGACCCUGCUUUGUUUGCAGGCCUGGAGGGUUUUCCCCUCCUCCAGUAUCAGAAAGUGGGGAAACUGAGAUACUUCUAGCUCUCUAAUGUCAUUUUCAGGCCAUUAUUCUUCCUCCAAGAUAUUUACAUGCCAUUCCUCCUGCUAUGGAGUUCAGGCUAAACUCUCCUUCAUGUUCUUGGCUACUCCUGGUCACUUCUAUACCAGGACUGGUACGAGGCUUCCUCUUCUCCCCAAUCCUACAUAAUUCUGGGUUGAUUGCAACACCUUGACUUACUGAUCCAACAUUCCAAGCCCAUAAUUCUCUGUUGUUGUUGUUUUGUAAGCUAACUGCUUUAAUCUUCCUUUUAUAAAAAAGACAGUUGGGUUUAACAAGAGAUAACAACAAAACCACAAAUACUUGAGCUACCUACCUUUGCAGCUGGAUGUAGGAGCUCCCUUGUUCUUUGACUCUAAUGACCUUUACUUUUACCCGACUUUAGACACCCAUUACUACUACACAUUUCAUUACAUGGAAGAGUUCCAACUCCAAAAUCUUAACUCUAACAUCACUGUGACCACCAGGUCCUGAGCUUCCAACUUAAUCACUUCUUUCACUUCUAAAUUGUCAUCAGCUCUUUGACCUUAUCAAGACCUCUCUUGACCAGAGCUGAUCAUACCUUCUUUGGCCUACCUUUUCACCCAGUCUGAAUAGGGUGGAUAUCUUGAACUGUCCCUCCCCAGCACCUUCCAUCCCCUUAUUCCCUUAUCAAUCCACUCAAUGUGUCCACAGACUAUGAUCCAGGAGCUACAUAAUAAUGCAUCUUAUCUGCUCUUGUACCCAGGCGGCUGGGUGUUGCUAGAGAAAACAGCAGAAAUACAGAUUGGUACCAUUCCAGUAGAUUACACGUUCCAAGGAUUAUACAUUCGUGGUUUCCAAUCUGUUAGGCCCUUGACACUUGUUCUCUAACCCUUUUACUUAGUAUUAUUGUCUGUUCUCUUCCAUUCCUCUCCCUUUCAACCUCUCUCCUAAACGAUGGCCACUCUUCUUAAGCCCCCUAACUCUCAUCUCCCUGUCAACUUGCAACCUUACAUCUCCGCAAAGAAUAGCGAAGCCAUCGGAGAAGGUCUCCCAUCAACUACCAACCCCAGUCACAAACAGCGAAGAGUUUACCCCUCAUUGUAUUUUCACCUUGAGCCUCAAGCAGGAUGCAGUAAACAUCUCCCUGCUGAGACCAAUUUCCUACACAGCUGGCUUCCCAACUAAACCAGCCCCAGCACCUCACCAUGCAUAGUGGUUGGCACAUAAGUGCUUCAUAAAUGUAUGUUGAAAUGUUUAAUUGACCAUAUCCACCUGAACUGAUUUACAUCCCCUCCUUUUUCUUCAUCAUUCUCCGCUGAGCUUCAACAUUUACUGGUUCCUUUCACUCAAGUCAAUAAAUGUGCCUAAAUUUAACAUCUUAAAACAACAAAACCUUCCCACACCACUUGGUUCUACAGGCAAGAUUCUACCUCUACUAAUCUGUUGACACUGCUGGCUCAAAAAGGUUACUAAUUGCCAAAUCAAAUGGACACCCUUUAGUCCAUUAAAAAAAAA